UUCCUUUAGAAGAGAUUAUAGGUAAAACCUGCUCCAUGAAAAAUAAUAAAUAGCUGCAGGAGACUGUACUAAGGUAGCAUAAUCAUUUGUUUUUUAAUUGAAAACUAGAAUGAAGGGUUUAACGAAUUUUAAAAAAUCCUUUUUAAAAAAGUUGAAAUUAAUUUUUUUUUAAAAAAGAAAAGAUAAUUUUUAGGGACGAGAAGACCCUAAAAAGCUUAUAUGAAUUUUUAACUAGUUAAAAAUUCUAAUUUAGUUGGGGCAACUUAAUAAGAAAAAAAUCUUGAUUUUAAAUGAUCCAAAAUUUUUGAUUAAAAAUAAAGUUACUUUAGGGAUAACAGCAUAAUAAAACUAUUCAAGAUCAAAUUGAAUAGUUUGUUUGUGACCUCGAUGUUGGAUUAAUUUUCCUAAAAGAGGAAUAAUAUUUUUAAGGUCGUCUGUUCGACGAAUAAUUUAUUACA
Molecule: ribosomal RNA, 458 nt
Filed under: Huitaca sp. 2 LRB-2018
Lineage: Eukaryota; Metazoa; Arthropoda; Arachnida; Opiliones; Neogoveidae
Description: partial 16S ribosomal RNA
Source: RNAcentral